CCUACGGGUGGCAGCAGUGGGGGAUAUUGCACAAUGGGCGAAAGCCUGAUGCAGCGACGCCGCGUGAGGGAAGACGGUCUUCGGAUUGUAAACCUCUGUCUGUGGGGAAGAAAAUGACGGUACCCAAAGAGGAAGCUGCGGCUAACGACGUGCCAGCAGCCGCGGUAAGACGUAGGGAGCAAGCGUUGUCCGGAAUUACUGGGUGUAAAGGGAGCGUAGGCGGGAUGGCAAGUAGAAUGUUAAAUCCCUCGGCUCAACCGGUGGCUGCGUUCUAAACUGCCGUUCUUGAGUGAAGUAGAGGCAGGCGGAUUUCCUCGUGUAGCGGUGAACUGCUUCGAUAUUACGCGGCACUCCAGUGGCGACGGCGGCCUGCUGGGCUUUAACUGCCGCUGAUGCUCG
Molecule: ribosomal RNA, 399 nt
Filed under: uncultured bacterium
Lineage: Bacteria
Description: partial 16S ribosomal RNA
Rfam family: Bacterial small subunit ribosomal RNA
Source: RNAcentral